CGGGGUAUAGCGCAGCCUGGUAGCGCACCAGUCUGGGGGACUGGUGGUCGUCGGUUCGAAUCCGGCUACCCCGACCA
Molecule: transfer RNA, 77 nt
Filed under: Pseudomonas sp.
Lineage: Bacteria; Pseudomonadati; Pseudomonadota; Gammaproteobacteria; Pseudomonadales; Pseudomonadaceae
Also listed under: 72 other names
Description: tRNA-Pro
Rfam family: tRNA
About the family: Transfer RNA (tRNA) molecules are approximately 80 nucleotides in length.
Source: RNAcentral